GACGAACGCUGGCGGCGUGCCUAAUACAUGCAAGUAGAACGCUGAAGGAGGAGCUUGCUUCUCUGGAUGAGUUGCGAACGGGUGAGUAACGCGUAGGUAACCUGCCCGGUAGCGGGGGAUAACUAUUGGAAACGAUAGCUAAUACCGCAUAAUAGUAGAUGUCGCAUGACAUUUGCUUAAAAGGUGCAAUUGCAUCACUACCAGAUGGACCUGCGUUGUAUUAGCUAGUUGGUGAGGUAACGGCUCACCAAGGCAACGAUACAUAGCCGACCUGAGAGGGUGAUCGGCCACACUGGGACUGAGACACGGCCCAGACUCCUACGGGAGGCAGCAGUAGGGAAGCUUCGGCAAUGGACGGAAGUCUGACCGAGCAACGCCGCGUGAGUGAAGAAGGUUUUCGGAUCGUAAAGCUCUGUUGUAAGAGAAGAACGAGUGUGAGAGUGGAAAGUUCACACUGUGACGGUAUCUUACCAGAAAGGGACGGCUAACUACGUG
This 495-nucleotide ribosomal RNA is filed under the name uncultured bacterium. RNAcentral describes it as "partial 16S ribosomal RNA". It matches the Rfam family "Bacterial small subunit ribosomal RNA", at positions 28 to 507 of the family's 1533-position model. The record is from RNAcentral.